Corapipo altera (White-ruffed manakin) is the source of this 651-nucleotide long non-coding RNA. RefSeq lists it as uncharacterized. The transcript has 4 exons. The record is from RefSeq and is a predicted model, not a curated record. NCBI's taxonomy places the organism in Eukaryota, Metazoa, Chordata, Aves, Passeriformes, Pipridae.
AGACAUCAAUACAGAGCACAUGUGAAAUUCUAUCUGUGUAAUGAAGUAAAAUUCUUUGACUACACUGUUUCCAGUGUAAACUACUGAACUUGCAAACACCAAGUUGCGUGGGAGAUAAGACAAGGUGAUGAAGUCCGAGCAAGAUGAGGAAGCACAGAGACUGUGGCAAAUUCUCCAAGGAAAACAUCUACAAGAGAGCAGAGAACAAGGCUGUCCUGAGCUAAUUUAUGCUCUUCAUUUGAAACAUUGAUGGCUGGCACUGAGAGCAAAACAAGAAAACUGGGCAAAUUUGGGGGAUCCUGUUAUCUUUAAUAUGUUUCUAGCAAUGCCUUUCAUGAGAAUUUUAGAUCUUCAUGAAUUUGAAAAUAGAGUUGUCAUUAAUUAUACAUAAUACUGAAUCCUACCAUCAACUUCUGAAGCCUGUGGAAAGUGAAAUUUGCACUGAUGCCUGUGGCUCUUCAGCUCAACCCAUGCAAGCUACAGACAGGUUUGCAUUUUUUUUUUUUUUACUGUCAUGGUCACAGGUAUAAACUGAGCAAUUAUUUUUUGGAUGUCCAGUUUUUGUGAGGCAAGUGAGUCUUAUUGACAGGUCUGUUUCCAUAUGAUUUUGAUUCAUAGUGACUUUACACACGCCACUUGUGACUUUUCCAC